UACGUAGGGUGCGAGCGUUGUCCGGAAUUACUGGGCGUAAAGAGCUCGUAGGUGGUUUGUCGCGUUGUCCGUGAAAACUCACAACUCAAUUGUGGGCGUGCGGGCGAUACUGGCAGACUGGAGUACUGCAGGGGAGACUGGAAUUCCUGGUGUAGCGGUGGAAUGCGCAGAUAUCAGGAGGAACACCGGUGGCGAAGGCGGGUCUCUGGACAGUAACUGACGCUGAGGAGCGAAAGCGUGGGGAGCGAACAGG
This 253-nucleotide ribosomal RNA is filed under the name uncultured bacterium. Its description in RNAcentral is "partial 16S ribosomal RNA". It matches the Rfam family "Bacterial small subunit ribosomal RNA", at positions 524 to 776 of the family's 1533-position model. The record is from RNAcentral.